UCCAAAAACAAAAGAAUAUGGAACACUCUGCUAAACAGAUGAUGGAUUCACGGGACAUCCUGACCGUCCGCGAGGUAACUUUCGGCCAAAGAAGAAUCUAAACCGAUCACCCAGAUGAUGUUCAGCCCAAUCUACCUCCAACUCGCGGAAACUAUCAAGUCCCUACCAACCGACAACUGGUGUGAUUUAUUUACCACCACGCGGCAGGUCCUCUUGACAGGGUGCUUCUUUUUAAGGGCAGCGAGAUCCGGGGAACCGCUUGCCGUCUCCUACGAAGAUCUCGAAAAUUUAAAUCUAUCGGGAAGUUGGAGACUUGGCCGACACAGGGAGCGCCGCAUAUCUUUCUAACAGCAGAUAUGUUCAAACUUCUGAUGGUGUACCUAAACAAGCACAAGAAGGUUAUAAUGGACAGCGUAGGUCACCAGGUGUUCUGCGGCUUUAAUGGG
Molecule: long non-coding RNA, 446 nt
Organism: Bolinopsis microptera
Lineage: Eukaryota; Metazoa; Ctenophora; Tentaculata; Lobata; Bolinopsidae
Exons: 4
Source: RefSeq, a predicted model, not a curated record